AGCAGCCGCGGUAAUUCCAGCUCCAAUAGCGUAUAUUAAAGUUGUUGCAGUUAAAAGCUCGUAGUUGAAUUUCGAGACUGGUUUAUUGGUCGUGCUUUUGUACGUACUGGUAUUAUUGGUUUCUCCUUUCUGACGAAUCUUAAUGCCAUUAAUUUGGUGUUUUGGGGAAUCAGGACUGUUACUUUAAAAAAUUAGAGUGUUUAAAGCAGGCUCACGCUUGAAUACAUUAGCAUGGAAUAACGGAAUAGGACGUUUGAUUCUAUUUUGUUGGUUUCUAGGAUCGACGUAAUGAUUAAUAGGGAUAGUUGGGGGCAUUAGUAUUCAAUUGUCAGAGGUGAAAUUCUUGGAUUUAUUGAAGACUAACUACUGCGAAAGCAUUUGCCAAGGAUGUUUCAUUAAUCAAGAACGAAAGUUAGGGAUCGAAGACGAUCAGAUACCGUCGUAGUCUUAACCAUAAACUAUGCCGACUAGGGAUCGGGAUGAUGUUAAUUUUUAAUGUACUCAUUCGGCGCCUUACGGG
Molecule: unclassified non-coding RNA, 520 nt
Filed under: uncultured Glomus
Lineage: Eukaryota; Fungi; Glomeromycota; Glomeromycetes; Glomerales; Glomeraceae
Description: SSU rRNA
Rfam family: Eukaryotic small subunit ribosomal RNA
Source: RNAcentral